GGGGAUGUGGCGGAAUGGUAGACGCGAGGGACUUAAAAUCCCUUGGUAGCAAUACCGUGAGGGUUCAACUCCCUCCAUCCCCACCA
Molecule: transfer RNA, 86 nt
Filed under: Erysipelotrichaceae bacterium
Lineage: Bacteria; Bacillati; Bacillota; Erysipelotrichia; Erysipelotrichales; Erysipelotrichaceae
Also listed under: 2 other names
Description: tRNA-Leu
Rfam family: tRNA
About the family: Transfer RNA (tRNA) molecules are approximately 80 nucleotides in length. Their secondary structure includes four short double-helical elements and three loops (D, anti-codon, and T loops). Further hydrogen bonds mediate the characteristic L-shaped molecular structure. tRNAs have two regions of fundamental functional importance: the anti-codon, which is responsible for specific mRNA codon recognition, and the 3' end, to which the tRNAs corresponding amino acid is attached (by aminoacyl-tRNA synthetases). tRNAs cope with the degeneracy of the genetic code in two manners: having more than one tRNA (with a specific anti-codon) for a particular amino acid; and 'wobble' base-pairing, i.e. permitting non-standard base-pairing at the 3rd anti-codon position.
Source: RNAcentral